This 727-nucleotide ribosomal RNA is filed under the name Streptomyces sp. Its description in RNAcentral is "bacterial SSU rRNA". It matches the Rfam family "Bacterial small subunit ribosomal RNA", at positions 137 to 876 of the family's 1533-position model. Lineage: Bacteria; Bacillati; Actinomycetota; Actinomycetes; Kitasatosporales; Streptomycetaceae. The record is from RNAcentral.
UCUGGGACAAGCCCUGGAAACAGGGUCUAAUACCGGAUAACACUCCUGCCUGCAUGGGCGGGGGUUGAAAGCUCCGGCGGUGAAGGAUGAGCCCGCGGCCUAUCAGCUUGUUGGUGGGGUAAUGGCCCACCAAGGCGACGACGGGUAGCCGGCCUGAGAGGGCGACCGGCCACACUGGGACUGAGACACGGCCCAGACUCCUACGGGAGGCAGCAGUGGGGAAUAUUGCACAAUGGGCGAAAGCCUGAUGCAGCGACGCCGCGUGAGGGAUGACGGCCUUCGGGUUGUAAACCUCUUUCAGCAGGGAAGAAGCGAAAGUGACGGUACCUGCAGAAGAAGCGCCGGCUAACUACGUGCCAGCAGCCGCGGUAAUACGUAGGGCGCAAGCGUUGUCCGGAAUUAUUGGGCGUAAAGAGCUCGUAGGCGGCUUGUCACGUCGGAUGUGAAAGCCCGAGGCUUAACCUCGGGUCUGCAUUCGAUACGGGCUAGCUAGAGUGUGGUAGGGGAGAUCGGAAUUCCUGGUGUAGCGGUGAAAUGCGCAGAUAUCAGGAGGAACACCGGUGGCGAAGGCGGAUCUCUGGGCCAUUACUGACGCUGAGGAGCGAAAGCGUGGGGAGCGAACAGGAUUAGAUACCCUGGUAGUCCACGCCGUAAACGUUGGGAACUAGGUGUUGGCGACAUUCCACGUCGUCGGUGCCGCAGCUAACGCAUUAAGUUCCCCGCCUGG